CCACAAAGACCGGUCCUGCGCUGCCUGC
RNAcentral lists this small RNA (28 nucleotides) under Bombyx mori (domestic silkworm). RNAcentral describes it as "piRNA piR-bmo-2182848". Lineage: Eukaryota; Metazoa; Arthropoda; Insecta; Lepidoptera; Bombycidae. The record is from RNAcentral.